Molecule: ribosomal RNA, 253 nt
Filed under: uncultured bacterium
Lineage: Bacteria
Description: partial 16S ribosomal RNA
Rfam family: Bacterial small subunit ribosomal RNA
Source: RNAcentral
UACGUAGGGUGCAAGCGUUGUCCGGAAUUAUUGGGCGUAAAGCGCGCGUAGGCGGCUUUGCAAGUCGAGUGUGAAAUCCCCAGGCUUAACCUGGGAACUGCAUUCGAGACUGCAUAGCUAGAGUAUGGGAGAGGGAAGUGGAAUUUCAGGUGUAGCGGUGAAAUGCGUAGAUAUCUGAAGGAACAUCAGUGGCGAAAGCGACUUCCUGGACCAAUACUGACGCUCAUGUGCGAAAGCGUGGGGAGCAAACAGG